This 501-nucleotide ribosomal RNA is filed under the name uncultured bacterium. RNAcentral's name for it is "partial 16S ribosomal RNA". It matches the Rfam family "Bacterial small subunit ribosomal RNA", at positions 28 to 507 of the family's 1533-position model. The record is from RNAcentral.
GACGAACGCUGGCGGCGUGCUUAACACAUGCAAGUCGAACGGUGAAGCACCUUCCUUUUGGUGGGUGUGGAUGAGUGGCGAACGGGUGAGUAACACGUGAGUAACCUGCCCCCUUCUUCUGGAUAACCGCAUGAAAGUGUGGCUAAUACGGUAUAUUCUGUGCCUGCUGCAUGGUGGGUGUGGGAAAGAUGCGCUUUUGGGUGUUUUUGGUGGGGGAUGGGCUCGCGGCCUAUCAGCUUGUUGGUGGGGUGAUGGCCUACCAAGGCGGUGACGGGUAGCCGGCCUGAGAGGGUGGACGGUCACACUGGGACUGAGACACGGCCCAGACUCCUACGGGAGGCAGCAGUGGGGAAUAUUGCACAAUGGGCGCAAGCCUGAUGCAGCGACGCCGCGUGAGGGAUGGAGGCCUUCGGGUUGUAAACCUCUUUCGCCAGUGAAGCAGGCCUGUCCCUUGUGGGUGGGUUGACGGUAGCUGGAUAAGAAGCGCCGGCUAACUACGUG